GUCCCCAUCGUCUAGAGGCCCAGGACGGCGCCCUUUCACGGCGCUAACGCGGGUUCGAAUCCCGCUGGGGACG
Molecule: transfer RNA, 73 nt
Filed under: Myxococcota bacterium
Lineage: Bacteria; Pseudomonadati; Myxococcota
Also listed under: 1 other name
Description: tRNA-Glu
Rfam family: tRNA
About the family: Transfer RNA (tRNA) molecules are approximately 80 nucleotides in length. Their secondary structure includes four short double-helical elements and three loops (D, anti-codon, and T loops). Further hydrogen bonds mediate the characteristic L-shaped molecular structure. tRNAs have two regions of fundamental functional importance: the anti-codon, which is responsible for specific mRNA codon recognition, and the 3' end, to which the tRNAs corresponding amino acid is attached (by aminoacyl-tRNA synthetases). tRNAs cope with the degeneracy of the genetic code in two manners: having more than one tRNA (with a specific anti-codon) for a particular amino acid; and 'wobble' base-pairing, i.e. permitting non-standard base-pairing at the 3rd anti-codon position.
Source: RNAcentral